CUCGCCGCCUGCAACCCCGCGGCCUCCGCUCCCCUCGCCGUCCGCGCGCACACCGUGACGAAGAACGAGAAGUCCCUCAACCAGAGCCUCGCCCAGUGGAAGCUCUUCAUAUGCAACCUGACCACCGGUGAGUUCCUGGGGCGCACCGCCAACAGUUGGGGUUUGAUCUUGCUCUUCUACCUAGUUUUUUAUGAGUUCCUGGCUGCACUCUUCUCAUUCACGAUGUGGGUUAGGCUUCAGACUCUAAACCAAAUACCGUGUUCCAAAAUACCGUGACCAGAUUCCUAGCCCAGGACUUACGGUUUUUCCAAAACCAGUGACUGCAUUGGAAUAUACAUUCAGUAGGUCUGAUCCAACUUCGUAUGCAGGGUACAUUGAAGACCUUAAGAAGUUUCUAAAACCAUAUACUUUAGAAGAACAGAAGAACCUCACAAUCUGUCCUGAUGGAGCACUUUCCGAACAGAAGGGUCCAGUUUAUGUUGCAUGUCAGUUUCCUAUUUCGUUACUUCAAGCAUGCAGUGGUAUGAAUGAUCCUGAUUUUGGCUAUUCUCAAGGAAACCCUUGUAUUCUUGUGAAAAUGAACAGAAUAAUUGGAUUAAAGCCUGAAGGAGUGCCAAGGAUAAAGUGUGUUUCAAAGAACGAAAAUAUACCAAAUGUAGCAUUUUAUCCUCAUAAUGGAAUUAUAGACUUAAAAUAUUUCCCAUAUUAUGGUAAAAAAACUUCAUGUGGGGUAUCUACAGCCAUUGGUUACUGUUCAGGUCAGCUUUGCUCCUAACAAUACUGGGAAAGAAGUAACAGUUGAGGGCAAGAUUGAUGGAUGAGCCAACCUAAAAAGUCAGGAUGAUGGUGACAAGUUUUUGGGAUGAGCUAUGUUCAAAAUCACAGCAAGUGCAUAGUAUAAGUAGGAUAUCUCCACAGAGUAAAUGUUGUGUUGUCUGUCUUCAUUUUGUAUCAGCUGGACCUUCCUUUCUAGAAUUAUGAGACUACCUUGGAGAAAGAUGUGUGGUACAUGACUCUGGGUUACAUCAUAACGUGCUUCCAGAUCGUAGUGUUCAAUGUCCUCUGAAGUAACUGCCUGUUGCCUCUGCUGCCCUUUGAACCAGUGUACAGUCGCCAGAUAGGGACCGGUGAACACCUGAUUCCAAACAUGUAGGAUGGAGGUCUUGUCCUUUUUUUAUGUGGUUUAAUUGUUAAGUGUCUAAAGCUUAAUAUGCUGUGCUAUGUAAAUAUUUUAUGGAUAUAACACUGUCAUAUUUUGAUGUCAACAGAGUUUUAGAGAUAAAAUGGUAUCCGGCCAACAUCAAGUGACUUUAUAGCUGCAAGAAAUGUGGUAUGUGGAGAAGUUCUGUAUGUGAGGAAGGAAAAAAAGAAAAUUAAAGUGCAUUUGAAAAAUA
Molecule: RNA transcript, 1394 nt
Organism: Mandrillus leucophaeus (drill)
Lineage: Eukaryota; Metazoa; Chordata; Mammalia; Primates; Cercopithecidae
Gene name: sodium/potassium-transporting ATPase subunit beta-3 pseudogene
Exons: 1
Source: RefSeq, a predicted model, not a curated record